This 786-nucleotide ribosomal RNA is filed under the name uncultured Glomeromycotina. Its description in RNAcentral is "SSU rRNA". It matches the Rfam family "Eukaryotic small subunit ribosomal RNA", at positions 316 to 1103 of the family's 1831-position model. Lineage: Eukaryota; Fungi; Glomeromycota. The record is from RNAcentral.
CAACUUUUCGAUGGUAGGAUAGAGGCCUACCAUGGUGGUAACGGGUAACGGGGUGUUAGGGCACGACACCGGAGAGGGAGCCUGAGAAACGGCUACCACAUCCAAGGAUGGCAGCAGGCGCGCAAAUUACCCAAUCCCGACACGGGGAGGUAGUGACAAUAAAUAACAAUACGGGGUUCUUUCGGAUUUCGUAAUUGGAAUGAGUACAAUUUAAAUCUCUUAACGAGGAACAAUUGGAGGGCAAGUCUGGUGCCAGCAGCCGCGGUAAUUCCAGCUCCAAUAGCGUAUAUUAAAGUUGCUGCAGUUAAAAAGCUCGUAGUUGAAUUUCGGGACCAAUAUGUCGGUCGUGCCUCGGUACGUACUGGCAUCGUUGGUUUCUCCCUUCUGACGAACCAUGAUGCCAUUAAUUUGGUGUCGCAGGGAAUCAGGACUGUUACUUUGAAAAAAUUAGAGUGUUUAAAGCAGGCUCACGCUUGAAUACAUUAGCAUGGAAUAAUGAAAUAGGACGUUUGAUCCUAUUUUGUUGGUUUCUAGGAUUGACGUAAUGAUUAAUAGGGAUAGUUGGGGGCAUUAGUAUUCAAUUGUCAGAGGUGAAAUUCUUGGAUUUAUUGAAGACUAACUACUGCGAAAGCAUUUGCCAAGGAUGUUUUCAUUAAUCAAGAACGAAAGUUAGGGGAUCGAAGACGAUCAGAUACCGUCGUAGUCUUAACCAUAAACUAUGCCGACUAGGGAUCGGAUGAUGUUAAUUUUUUAAUGACUCAUUCGGCGCCUUACGGGAAACCAAAG